UUCAUAUUAAUCCCGGCUUAUUUAUCUUAGCAGUUGACACGUCAUUGAGUGUUUGUUGAAGAUUUUUGCGAUUUCCUCACCAAAAACCCAUUAAAAUGUUCUCAAGGUCCCCAAAUCGUGCAAAUUUGAAGAUUUAAAAAAAAGGUAAAAAUCAAAUGUUUUAACGAAAAACCCUCCCAGAUUAUUGUGGAUUUAUUAAUUUCAUGCUAUAAAGUCUCCGAAGUAUGAUCGUAAUCAAUUUAGAUGGCUUCGUUACGUUUAAUCGCAAUUAAAUUGCCUAAAUAGAAUCGGAUUUCAUCAAUAAAACUUCCCUUUAUACAUAAUUAGUUGACAGUGUUCACAUCAUUGAAUACGAUUUUUGCGAUGUUCUCACCAAAAACCCAUUAAAAUGUCAUCAAGGUAGUUCUAAUUAACCAUUUAAUGUUCAUUUCAAUCUUAUAACAUGUUUUAGGGCCCUA
Molecule: non-coding RNA, 458 nt
Organism: Onthophagus taurus
Lineage: Eukaryota; Metazoa; Arthropoda; Insecta; Coleoptera; Scarabaeidae
Source: RefSeq, a predicted model, not a curated record